This 91-nucleotide ribosomal RNA is filed under the name Nicotiana tabacum (common tobacco). RNAcentral's name for it is "partial 26S ribosomal RNA". It matches the Rfam family "Eukaryotic large subunit ribosomal RNA", at positions 2810 to 2899 of the family's 3401-position model. Lineage: Eukaryota; Viridiplantae; Streptophyta; Magnoliopsida; Solanales; Solanaceae. The record is from RNAcentral.
GGAAGUUUCCACAUGGAUUUCAGUUCUUGUGGCAGCCAAGCGUUCAUAGCGACGUUGCUUUUUGAUCCUUCGAUGUCGGCUCUUCCUAUCA